GUAAAUAUAGUUUAAACAAAACAUUAGAUUGUGAAUCUGAUAACAGAGGAUUACAUCCUCUUAUUUACC
RNAcentral lists this transfer RNA (69 nucleotides) under Sciurus anomalus (Caucasian squirrel). Its description in RNAcentral is "tRNA-His". It matches the Rfam family "tRNA". From Rfam's summary of the family: Transfer RNA (tRNA) molecules are approximately 80 nucleotides in length. Their secondary structure includes four short double-helical elements and three loops (D, anti-codon, and T loops). Lineage: Eukaryota; Metazoa; Chordata; Mammalia; Rodentia; Sciuridae. The record is from RNAcentral.